This 328-nucleotide ribosomal RNA is filed under the name uncultured eukaryote. RNAcentral's name for it is "partial 18S ribosomal RNA". It matches the Rfam family "Eukaryotic small subunit ribosomal RNA", at positions 1470 to 1796 of the family's 1831-position model. The record is from RNAcentral.
UCCUUAGAUGUCCUGGGCCGCACGCGCGUUACACUGAUGCAUUCAACGAGCUUAUAACCUUGGCCGAGAGGCCUGGGCAAUCUUGUUAACGUGCAUCGUGAUAGGGAUAGAUUAUUGAAAUUAUUAAUCUUGAACGAGGAAUUCCUAGUAAACGCAGAUCAUCAAUCUGCAUUGAUUACGUCCCUGCCCUUUGUACACACCGCCCGUCGCACCUACCGAUUGGAUGGUCCGGUGAAGCCUCGGGAUUGUGGUUCUUGCCGCUUUAUUGUGGCGUGACCGCGAGAACUUGUCUAAACCUUAUCAUCUAGAGGAAGGUGAAGUCGUAACA